UACGAAGGGGGCUAGCGUUGCUCGGAAUUACUGGGCGUAAAGCGCAUGUAGGCGGCGAUUCAAGUUAGAUGUGAAAGGCCCGGGCUCAACCCGGGAACUGCAUUUGAUACUGAAUUGCUAGAGUCCAAGAGAGGGUAGUGGAAUUCCCAGUGUAGAGGUGAAAUUCGUAGAUAUUGGGAAGAACACCAGUGGCGAAGGCGGCUACCUGGCUUGGUACUGACGCUGAGAUGCGAAAGCGUGGGGAGCGAACAGG
RNAcentral lists this ribosomal RNA (253 nucleotides) under uncultured bacterium. RNAcentral describes it as "partial 16S ribosomal RNA". It matches the Rfam family "Bacterial small subunit ribosomal RNA", at positions 524 to 776 of the family's 1533-position model. The record is from RNAcentral.